Catharus ustulatus (Swainson's thrush) is the source of this 268-nucleotide long non-coding RNA. RefSeq lists it as uncharacterized. NCBI's taxonomy places the organism in Eukaryota, Metazoa, Chordata, Aves, Passeriformes, Turdidae. The record is from RefSeq and is a predicted model, not a curated record. The transcript is spliced from 3 exons.
AAAAGAGAAAGCAUUCCCUACAGGAAAAGUGGAGGCCAUAAUAUCACCGUUUGAUGACAGUUUGAAGAGGAAGUGAGUGUCCGCUUGGAAUCAGCUGUGACAAUGCACUUGUAAGGGAGAUCACUGUCACUGAAGAGGUGAUAUGGAUGGUUCCAACAGCUUGAGCUCGCCUCUUUGCAGAUGAUGCCAGAUGCUCCCUCUCUCACAGGCAGCUUAAUUCCCUCUCGCCCACGUACACAGAAACAGGUGAUAUCGGAUGCCCUCUCAA